GAUGAACGCUGGCGGCGUGCCUAAUACAUGCAAGUCGAGCGAACGGACGAGAAGCUUGCUUUUCUGAUGUUAGCGGCGGACGGGUGAGUAACACGUGGAUAACCUACCUAUAAGACUGGGAUAACUUCGGGAAACCGGAGCUAAUACCGGAUAAUAUUUUGAACCGCAUGGUUCAAAAGUGAAAGACGGUCUUGCUGUCACUUAUAGAUGGAUCCGCGCUGCAUUAGCUAGUUGGUAAGGUAACGGCUUACCAAGGCAACGAUGCAUAGCCGACCUGAGAGGGUGAUCGGCCACACUGGAACUGAGACACGGUCCAGACUCCUACGGGAGGCAGCAGUAGGGAAUCUUCCGCAAUGGGCGGAAGCCUGACGGAGCAACGCCGCGUAAGUGAUGAAGGUCUUCGGAUCGUAAAACUCUGUUAUUAGGGAAGAACAUAUGUGUAAGUAACUGUGCACAUCUUGACGGCACCUAAUCAGAAAGCCACGGCUAACUACGUG
Molecule: ribosomal RNA, 497 nt
Filed under: uncultured bacterium
Lineage: Bacteria
Description: partial 16S ribosomal RNA
Rfam family: Bacterial small subunit ribosomal RNA
Source: RNAcentral